Molecule: ribosomal RNA, 627 nt
Filed under: uncultured fungus
Lineage: Eukaryota; Fungi
Description: eukaryotic LSU rRNA
Rfam family: Eukaryotic large subunit ribosomal RNA
Source: RNAcentral
CCCGCUGAACUUAAGCAUAUCAAUAAGCGGAGGAAAAGAAACUAACAAGGAUUCCCCUAGUAACUGCGAGUGAAGCGGGAAAAGCUCAAAUUUAAAAUCUGGCGGUUCCACCGUCCGAGUUGUAAUUUAGAGAAGUGCUAUCCGCGCUGGACCGUGUACAAGUCUCCUGGAAUGGAGCAUCAUAGAGGGUGAGAAUCCCGUCUUUGACACGGACUCCCAGGGCAUUGUGAUGCGCUCUCAAAGAGUCGAGUUGUUUGGGAAUGCAGCUCAAAAUGGGUGGUAAAUUUCAUCUAAAGCUAAAUAUUGGCCAGAGACCGAUAGCGCACAAGUAGAGUGAUCGAAAGAUGAAAAGCACUUUGGAAAGAGAGUUAAACAGUACGUGAAAUUGUUGAAAGGGAAGCGCUUGCAACCAGACUUGCACGUAGUUAAUCAUCCGGGGUUCUCCCCGGUGCACUUGGCUACGUUCAGGCCAGCAUCGGUUUUGGUGGUUGGAUAAAGGCCUAGGGAAUGUGGCUCUCUUCGGGGAGUGUUAUAGCCCUAGGUGCAAUGCAGCCCACUGGGACCGAGGACCGCGCUUUGGCUAGGAUGCUGGCGUAAUGGUUGUAAGCGACCCGUCUUGAAACACGG